Phacochoerus africanus (Common warthog) is the source of this 420-nucleotide long non-coding RNA. RefSeq lists it as uncharacterized. The record is from RefSeq and is a predicted model, not a curated record. The transcript is spliced from 3 exons. NCBI's taxonomy places the organism in Eukaryota, Metazoa, Chordata, Mammalia, Artiodactyla, Suidae.
CUGUGUCUCAGAGCCCAGCUGGGGACUGGCUUGUCUGAGAAGCUAAUUCUAGCUAAAGUGUUAACAGCUGAAUGGGUCGUCCAUGUGCUCAGCGAUGGGGACUUUCAGUCUUUGAGGACAUGGGGCAGGAUGGAAAGGCCAGAAACCCAGUUUCCCGCCUGGACCAAGCUUCAGCCUCCGGCGAGCCUCAGCCUUGGGUGUCGGCCUUCCGGAGUUUCCUGCUCAAGUCGCUCAGAGAGGACAUGUCACGUUGCAGAAACAAGCAUCUUGCAGACGGCUGGUGGCGCUUCUCCUCUCCAAUCGCUGCGUGGCAUUUUCCUUGCCUCAUCGCGGUGCCAGGACCUCCAGCCUGAUGUUGGAUAGGAAUGAUCAGAGCUCGGAAGAUUCCCUUUACUCUUGAUUUCCUAUGACUCUUAUCAG